CACUUCCGGGUUACAUUAUUUUAUAAUCCACUAUAUAAGCACGCGGUCUGCAAACACUCCUUGCCAGAUUGUCUCAUCGCGUUACCGAUCGUGUAUGCCUUUCCGGCCUGUAAGUUUCACUUUCAUUUCCCGUGUUGGAUUGCAGCCGGGUGUGUGUCAAACCGUGGAUUUUCCCUUUUGUUAUUUUUUGGGUUACUCAAUUUUGCCUUUGUCGGCCAGAGACCCUUUUUUGUAUUUUUGCUUAUUUCGUUUGUGGAUCAGUCCUAUUUUUCUGACAUUUUGGUGGGAUUUAUUUUUUGUUUUUCCUUCUGUGGACUUAAGGGCCUUGUUGGAUUAUUCAUUUGUUUUCUUCAAGAAUUUUUCCUGGACUCGCUCUUCUUGAUUUUGUUUGUGGAUUCUUCUCUUAGUCUCUUGUUGGAACAUUUUGCUUGGCCUGUUUUUUCUGUGACUAUUUAUUUCUGUGUUGGAUUAUUCCCUGACAUUAUAUACAUUCCCUUAUUAAAUCUAUUUUUUGUGGAAGUCGUAUGUGUUCUGCAUUUUUGGGUCCAUACCCUCCUGCACCCUGACACCUCCUGAAUCCGAGGUUCCCUGGCAUAGACUUUUCCGGGGAGGCUGAGGAGUGUGAUCCCCCUAUAGUCUGUAUAGGAACAUGAAUAGGAACUGUAUAGGAACAUGAAUCUUCGCAGGAACGCAGGACAAAACCCUAAAUCGGUUUUGUCCUGCGUUCUUGCGAAGAUUCAUGUUCCUAUACAGUCCAUACAGUAUACAUAUGUGUUUUCCAGUGAGCACUAAAUUCUGCUUAAUUUCAUCUUAGUUCCCUAGUUCAUCUUAGUGUUAUAUGAUAACCCUGACAACCACCACACAGGUGAAGCCAGCUGAAAUGGAGUUAAAUGUAAUUUCUUGGGAGACUCUGAUGACAGUGAAGAGGAAGGCGCUCCUAAAAAGAGAGCCAGGGGUCCAAGCAAACUCUUAACACAACCACCAGCUCCUGUUAUCUCACCACCACCUUUUACCCCAAGUAGCGGCAUAGCUGCUCCACCUCCACCCAUUUCCCCGCCUCACUGUUCACAGAGACCAGCAGAAGAGCAAAACCCCUUCUGCAAGCAGGGUCUACAGCCCUACCUGGCAGGGGGAAGAUUUGGAUCAGACAGUAUUGCCUGCUCUGGUGAGCAAUACCUCAUUGGAUAUACUCUGCAGAAGUCCACAUAAUGAGCUUGCUGGAAAUAAUAAAACAACAACAAGAGCAAAUCAUGUCUGAAGUAAAUUAUUAGACGAGCAAGUUGAACCCAGCAGGCCAAGACAUGGAAAUGCCUCAUGGAAGUUUCCAUUAACAUCAAUGGAAGAAGUGGAGAAUUUUGAGUAGUGGAUUAAAAAAAAAUCCAGCAAAUAAUAAAACAAAGUUUAGUGUGGCAAGUUGUUUUUCCCAUUAAGGGAAAUAUAUAAUAUAAUCCUAUCUCAUUAAGGUGUAAGUUUACAAUACAUUCUAGCAUUUUCACAGUGUUUUACUGUUAUAGUGCCCCUAUUAUGCUAUUUUAAUAUUUCCUAUUUUAAUUUUGUUCAGAGUCGAUUCAUUCUUUUGGGAGACAAUAACUUUAUUUAUCUUGGAUUUACAAUUUUGCAGAACGUUUACAUUCACAAACAGCUACGUAUGUUACACACUGCAUGAGAGGGAAUAUUAAAAAGCCAUAAUAGGGGCACUUUAAUAAAAUUAUGAUCAUUUUGUUUACAGUGCAUGUUAACCUUGGGGUGUGAAUAAAACAUGUUGUUGUUGUUAUUAUUAUUAUUAUUAUUAUCCUUUUAAGCAAAAAAAUAAUAUAUAUAUAUAUAUAUAUAUAUAUAUAAUCAGCCAUUUUAUAAAUCUUUUGAAUGGUCUGCCAGCCAAUCAGAAAGUCAUAUUGUUAUGCCUAUAAUAAAUAACAGAUUUUUAUUAGAUAUUAGAUGUCCUCCCUAUUGGGGGCCAUGACACCAAAGGUGUCACAUGGAACCUGCUUUCCCGCAUGUCCAUGACGAUGUUGGGAGGAUGAUCAAUUGCAAGGGCAUGAAUGGGAAAAAAAAUAUCUGAUGGAGUCCGAGAAGUUACUACUGUAUGCUGUGAGAAAGAACCAUGUCUCCUGCACCGCCACCGAUGGGGAAAUUACGAAGCAUGUAAUACAGUGGUUCAACCUGGCAGCAGAUAGGGGAAGCUCAAGGAGCCGUCCCAUUGUCAGCAUCUUGACCCAAGAGUAGUGUUUUAUUUUAUGUUCUUUUUCAUUUA
Tachysurus fulvidraco (yellow catfish) is the source of this 2254-nucleotide long non-coding RNA. RefSeq lists it as uncharacterized. The transcript is spliced from 4 exons. Lineage: Eukaryota; Metazoa; Chordata; Actinopteri; Siluriformes; Bagridae. The record is from RefSeq and is a predicted model, not a curated record.